This 399-nucleotide ribosomal RNA is filed under the name uncultured bacterium. RNAcentral's name for it is "bacterial SSU rRNA". It matches the Rfam family "Bacterial small subunit ribosomal RNA", at positions 29 to 455 of the family's 1533-position model. The record is from RNAcentral.
AAUGAACGCUGGCGGCAUGCCUAACACAUGCAAGUCGAACGAAGGCUUCGGCCUUAGUGGCGCACGGGUGCGUAACGCGUGGGAAUCUACCCUUGGGUUCGGAAUAACAGUUAGAAAUGACUGCUAAUACCGGAUGAUGACGUAAGUCCAAAGAUUUAUCGCCCAGGGAUGAGUCCGCGUAGGAUUAGCUAGUUGGUGUGGUAAAGGCGCACCAAGGCGACGAUCCUUAGCUGGUCUGAGAGGAUGAUCAGCCACACUGGGACUGAGACACGGCCCAGACUCCUACGGGAGGCAGCAGUGGGGAAUAUUGGACAAUGGGCGAAAGCCUGAUCCAGCAAUGCCGCGUGAGUGAUGAAGGCCUUAGGGUUGUAAAGCUCUUUUACCCGGGAUGAUAAUGAC